GAUGAACGCUGGCGGCGUGCUUAACACAUGCAAGUCGAACGAAGCAUUUAGAACGGAUUAUUUCGGUAUGAAGUUCUUUAUGACCGAGUGGCGGACGGGUGAGUAACGCGUGGGUAACCUGCCUUGUACUGGGGGAUAGCAGCUGGAAACGGCUGGUAAUACCGCAUAAGCGCACAAUGUUGCAUGACAUGGUGUGAAAAACUCAGGUGGUAUAAGAUGGACCCGCGUCUGAUUAGCUAGUUGGUGAGAUAACAGCCCACGAAGGCGACGAUCAGUAGCCGACCUGGGAGGGUGACCGGCCACAGUGGGACUGAGACACGGCCCAGACUCCUACGGGAGGCAGCAGUGGGGAAUAUUGCACAAUGGAGGAAACUCUGAUGCAGCGACGCCGCGUGAGUGAAGAAGUAAUUCGUUAUGUAAAGCUCUAUCAGCAGGGAAGAUAGUGACGGUACCUGACUAAGAAGCUCCGGCUAAAUACGUGCCAGCAGCCGCCGUAA
This 497-nucleotide ribosomal RNA is filed under the name uncultured bacterium. RNAcentral's name for it is "partial 16S ribosomal RNA". It matches the Rfam family "Bacterial small subunit ribosomal RNA", at positions 28 to 523 of the family's 1533-position model. The record is from RNAcentral.